UGCCCAGACUCCUACGGGAGGCAGCAGUAGGGGAUAUUGCACAAUGGGGGAAACCCUGAUGCAGCGAUGCCGCGUGAAUGAAGACGGCCUUCGGGUUGUAAAGUUCUGUCGCAGGGGACGAAAAUGACGGUACCCUGCAAGAAAGCUCCGGCUAACUACGUGCCAGCAGCCGCGGUAAUACGUAGGGGGCAAGCGUUAUCCGGAAUUACUGGGUGUAAAGGGAGCGUAGACGGUGAAGUAAGUCUGGAGUGAAAGGCGGGGGCCCAACCCCCGGACUGCUCUGGAAACUGUGAAGCUGGAGUGCAGGAGAGGUAAGCGGAAUUCCUGGUGUAGCGGUGAAAUGCGUAGAUAUCAGGAGGAACACCGGCGGCGAAGGCGGCUUACUGGACUGUAACUGACGUUGAGGCUCGAAGGCGUGGGGAGCAAACAGGAUUAGAUACCCCAGUA
This 447-nucleotide ribosomal RNA is filed under the name uncultured bacterium. Its description in RNAcentral is "bacterial SSU rRNA". It matches the Rfam family "Bacterial small subunit ribosomal RNA", at positions 328 to 792 of the family's 1533-position model. The record is from RNAcentral.